UACAGAGGGGGCAAGCGUUGUUCGGAAUUACUGGGCGUAAAGGGCGCGUAGGCGGUUUGUUAAGUCGAACGUGAAAUCCCCGGGCUCAACCCGGGAACUGCGUCCGAUACUGGCAGGCUUGAAUUCGGGAGAGGGAUGCGGAAUUCCAGGUGUAGCGGUGAAAUGCGUAGAUAUCUGGAGGAACACCGGUGGCGAAGGCGGCAUCCUGGACCGAGAUUGACGCUGAGGCGCGAAAGCCAGGGGAGCAAACGGG
RNAcentral lists this ribosomal RNA (253 nucleotides) under uncultured bacterium. RNAcentral describes it as "partial 16S ribosomal RNA". It matches the Rfam family "Bacterial small subunit ribosomal RNA", at positions 524 to 776 of the family's 1533-position model. The record is from RNAcentral.